This 24-nucleotide microRNA is filed under the name Ananas comosus (pineapple). Its description in RNAcentral is "microRNA s1445_c076b". Lineage: Eukaryota; Viridiplantae; Streptophyta; Magnoliopsida; Poales; Bromeliaceae. The record is from RNAcentral.
AGAUUCGUGAGUGGGUUCACGAGC